GCUAAUUAUGUAUUUUUAGUAGAGAUGGGGUUUCACCGUGUUGGCCAGGCUGGUCUUGAACUCCUGACCUCAGGUGAUCUGCCCGCCUCGGCCUCCUGAGACAACAGAGGAUUACACCCAUGCUGUCCUCCAGAGUUGCAGAAGCCUGUCAUGGGAAAACUUUGUAGUCAUAGAAGGAUGUUCCUCUCCUUUGAGAAUGUGGUUUGCCAUUGUUAGAGGAGAGAAGAGGAUUCCGAAGGCUGUCAAACCUAUAUGUUGCUGGUUUUAUCUCCUCUGGAGAUUGGUGUGACACUCAUGAAGGGGACUCAGCCACCUGUGCAAAGCCCAGCCUCUUAAGUCACUGGGCAUCUAGUGGAAUCAGGGGAUGAAUUACUGAUGGAUGACUGGGAGGAGGGUGCUUAGGCACCGCAGUUGAGUGGCUCACAAGGAGAGAACAUUUCACUAAUGCAUAUUCAGUGGGUGGUUCUGGUUUGCCUGAUUUUUGCCUCUGGGCAUGGCUGUUUCAGCCUGAGAGGCUGUUCCAAGAAUGUUUCUUUACUAGAGCACUCAUGCUGCCUGGUGGUAAAUAUGAAGUACAGCAAUGCAACCGACCAGUUUUACUCCAAGGAAACCCUGUAGAGAUGACAGCGAUGGUUGGCAAUUUCUGCUUCAGUUACGAAAGUGAUCUGAUGUUGCAGGGCCAGAGAAGACUAGGGAAGUUCGGGUUUUCUGGACCAAACAGACACUCAGUCCUGGGCCUGGAGGUCUCUGCAGUGAGGUGCUGCCACGGACAGAGCCACCUUCACUCCUCAGGACAACCAGUGGCUGCUGACACACACUGUAUGCACUGGAGGGCAAGCGGCUCCCAGCUUGGGAGCAACUGAGGAUGGUGAACAGCCUGGGCAAGGAGUGCUCUGAGGCUAAGACCCUGAACGGCAGGAACCGAAAUGCAUCUCCCCGCUUUAGGUAAUGUGAUUCUACCCUUUGCUUGAGAAACAUAUCCAUCCUAAUUGUCAUGUGCUCAGCUGGACCACUAGAGGGAGCCAUCCUGUAACGGGUGAGAUCAACCUAACAUGCUCUCGGUCGGGUAUUGAUCCGAGGCCAACGCUAGAAGUUACCAG
Molecule: RNA transcript, 1100 nt
Organism: Piliocolobus tephrosceles (Ugandan red Colobus)
Lineage: Eukaryota; Metazoa; Chordata; Mammalia; Primates; Cercopithecidae
Exons: 3
Source: RefSeq, a predicted model, not a curated record